Molecule: ribosomal RNA, 406 nt
Filed under: uncultured bacterium
Lineage: Bacteria
Description: partial 16S ribosomal RNA
Rfam family: Bacterial small subunit ribosomal RNA
Source: RNAcentral
AUUGAACGCUGGCGGCAGGCCUAACACAUGCAAGUCGAACGAGUGGCGGACGGGUGAGUAAUGUCUGGGAAACUGCCCGAUGGAGGGGGAUAACUACUGGAAACGGUAGCUAAUACCGCAUACCAUCGGAUGAGCCCAUAUGGGAUUAGCUAGUAGGUGGGUUAAAGGCCCACCUAGGCGACGAUCCCUAGCUGGUCUGAGAGGAUGAUCAGCCACACUGGAACGGAGACACGGUCCAGACUCCUACGGGAUGCAGCAGUGGGGAAUAUUGCACAAUGGGCGCAAGCCUGAUGCAGCCAUGCCGCGUGUAUGAAGAAGGCCUGCGGGUUGUAAAGUACUUUCAGCGAGGAGGCGUUACUCGCAGAAGAAGCACCGGCUAACUCCGUGCAAGCAGCCGCGGUAAUAC